Long non-coding RNA from Etheostoma cragini (Arkansas darter), 701 nucleotides. RefSeq lists it as uncharacterized. The record is from RefSeq and is a predicted model, not a curated record. The transcript is spliced from 2 exons. Lineage: Eukaryota; Metazoa; Chordata; Actinopteri; Perciformes; Percidae.
CUCCAUGUCAAAAUCAAGAUGUCAAGAUCUCGAAAAACAAAGUCAAGAUUUUGCAAAAGUGAUUAUUCAGUAUUUGCCCCCUCCAUGUCGCCUCGGGGCUCCGUACAUUCCAACGCCACACCGACGGUGUUUAAUACUCACGCACACACACGGUUCUCUCCUUCUCCUUGGUGUAGCCGUCAUGUUAGCAGUGUUUCCUACAUGACGUGUGUGUGUGUGUGUGUGUGUGUGUGUGUGUGUGUGUGUGUGUGUGUGUGUGUGUGUGUGUGUGUGUGUGUGUGUGUGUGAGUGUGUGUGUGUUCAUGAAAGACUUUGCUGUGCAUUUAUGAUUAAAUAUUGAAGACAGAAAAAAAAAUUAAAUCCUGCCAACUUGUUAUAAGCGUAGCUACCACAGCGCACGUGUCUGUGUGUAACCCCCCCCACGUGUCUACAUAUUGAUGAAAAGCAUACAAUAAUAUUGACAUUGUCUUCAUAUGAUUAUUUUCUAAGUGAAUUUGUAAAUGAUAGAGUUAGACCUUACUAAACGGUGUUGAGUAUGAGUUUAUUUUUAUGCUGUGUACCAUGGACAGAUUCUAUAGAGAGUUUAUGUAAACUUGUUGUGUUAAAGUUCACUCCAGAAGCACAAAGUGAUUGUACAAAAUUAUUGUGAAUGUUUGUAUAUUAUAGAUGCAAUUUAAUAAAAAUCUCAAUCUUUAAUCAUA